Molecule: long non-coding RNA, 2405 nt
Filed under: Pan paniscus (pygmy chimpanzee)
Lineage: Eukaryota; Metazoa; Chordata; Mammalia; Primates; Hominidae
Description: lncRNA (ENSPPAG00000045610.1)
Source: RNAcentral
CUGGCCGCUGCCUUCUCGGACCCAGGGUCUUCGGCCUGGGCUCCACACCUCAGGCCCCUCAAGUAAUUGGCCUCUUGGUGGCCGGGCACUGCCUUUCCGGCUGCUCUCUGCACCCGUCUGCCCCUCCGGCCUCCCCCUGGCGGCUACAGGCGUCCGGGGCCCUCGCUCCCCAGCUCCAGGCGUCCCGGGAGCCAGGCGCGCAGCGGGGCGAGUUCUUGUGUCCGUGUGAGCGCGGACGUGUGUAUGCGUGCGCGUGCACGAGCGUGAGUGUGCGUGAGCGUGAGUUUGAGUGUGCGUGAGGGUGUGAAUGUGUACAUGUACACGAAUGUGAGUGUGAGUGUGCAUGAGCGUGAGCGUGCGUGUGCGUGCGAGUGUGCACGAGCGUGACUGUGAGUGUGCGUGCGUGGAAGCGCGGCGGGGAGCCUGGCUGAAGGCCUGCUGCCUGCAUGGCUGUCAGAGAAAAACAGAAGUGGGAGCCUGCUGCGGGCUCCGAGAGGACUUGAUGGGAGCCCUGGCGCGCGCUGGGCACCGCGCGGUGGGCCCAGCCCAGUUAUGAACAUGUUGAGACCUAGGAGGCCAAGAGGACCCACCUAAAACCCUCCCCCGUUAAGGGCUGAUGUGGUACCCCUGCAAACCCACUCCCUCGGGGCAGGAGAUGCCUUCUCUGCAGAGUCCUGUUUCUGAAAUCUGUGCAGUGUGUCCAGCCCUAGCAGCACGAGAUCAAAUUUUCCUUAGAUAUCAACCAAAUGGCUUUCCUCGGAAGCUCAGGGGCGACCCACAGAGCGAGGGAGGGCCUUCUCCUGCCACCUCACCAGCGCAGUCAGAACUGAUAUUUCUAUCAGAUGCCAGGCGUUUUGCUGCUGUCUUUGGUGACAACGAUGGAAAUGCCAUUUUGCACAGACCGGGAGAACAAUAUUGCCAAGAAUAUCUGGAUGGAUGGAGGUGGCCGGCAAAUCAUCAGAAGCAACUCAGACAGUCCAGAGGAGGAUGGCGCAGAGCCAGAGGAGGCACAGGGAGGCGGCAGGCAGAUCUGAGAGGCAUCACCAAGGCAGCACUAAGGAAGGAGGGUAGGGACAGUGACUGCCUCGGGCUGCUGCAGCUCAGGAGGCCGAAUGAUGCCCUUCACCAAGCAACACACGAUUAUGCUUCGGGUAGCAGCCCAGCGCUCUUCACUGGACUGAAGGCACCUCUUCUCUUUAGAGAGAGAACAUUUUCAAAGGUUAAGCCUAAAAAUCAGGACAGAUUUUACUUUGUUAUUGUUGUUUCUUGAGGCUUAAUUUUUUAAAAGCCUGUGUGCUGGCUGCUGAUGGCCUUGAUGAGAAAGUGGCUGUCAAUUAAACAGACAAGGGGGAUCCGAGGAAUCCAGGUCAGCACGAUUUCCUGAUCUGUGGCAGUGACCGUGACCUGACUGGACUUGAGCUGGAACUUCAAAUAACACCGUUAGCUCCUAAUCAUAUCAGAGGUGAUCUAACAUGACUUCCCACACCAUCCCCUUUCAAAGAUGCAAGUCACAUGGGCACGUCUGUAAAAUGCUGAAGGCUGCACUGUGUGAGCUGCACAAAUUCAAAGUUUUCUGACUUUGCCAGCCCAGUAACACUGCCAGGUGCCAGCUUGUGGCAUUUCUGUCAGAAACCCAGCUGGCAUGAAAGUGGGUUUUUAAUCCAGCCUGGAGUAGCCCCUGCAUUCAGAAAUUCUUUGCCUGACUACAGAAGUCUAAAUCAGGACUCACUUUCCCCCGAGCUAGAGGAGGAGGAAUGUGAAGCCUUGGAAAGAGUCGGCACCAUUCUGGGAGUCAGAUUAGUACACCCCAAGAAAGGGAGAGUGGCUGGGCCAGCUGCGACACAGUCCCCAACUGCUACCCGUUCCUCCACCGCCCACCAAGCCCAGAGCAGCCUCCCUCAGCCAGAAGACAGCUCGGAGGAUGGAAGACUGUUCAACUUGUGGCUUAAGCACAUUAUUAAAACCAAAGAGGAAAAUUCUUUGAAGAGACGGGGUGGAGCUGAAUUUAAGAGAAAUAAUAAAAACCAUGACCAGGUUUUUCCGUGUCUGUUUUUUCUCCCUCAUUUCUCCAGCAGCCUGGGGAGCACCGAUAGAAUAAUUCCCCGGUCAUUUCAUCAUGGAACUUCCCUUUCAUCAACCUUCCACUGAUCUACGUUGCCUGUGGAAUAAAGUCCAAAUGCCUUUGCUUGAUUCUCCCUCUUCUUCCUCACCAAGCAAACGCCUUUUUAAACUAAUAAUGGUGGCCACCUGUGUAGAAAGCAGAAGGAAUGAGGCAGGUGUGGGACAGGAAACGAGGUUGCUAAGGUAUCAGUCAGCCACUGCUGUGACAAGGCUGCAUAACAAAUGGCCCCAACGUGGAAAUGGCUUCCUGCAGCAAACGUGUGUUUUUCUUGCUUUGGGGUCUC